RNAcentral lists this ribosomal RNA (364 nucleotides) under uncultured bacterium. Its description in RNAcentral is "partial 16S ribosomal RNA". It matches the Rfam family "Bacterial small subunit ribosomal RNA", at positions 338 to 699 of the family's 1533-position model. The record is from RNAcentral.
CCUACGGGAGGCAGCAGUGAGGAAUAUUGGUCAAUGGACGGAAGUCUGAACCAGCCAUGCCGCGUGCAGGAAGACGGUUUUAUGAGUUGUAACUUGUUUUUGUACAAGGGUUAAUCUGAAUACGUGUAUUCUGCUGAACGUACUGCACCAAUCAGGAUCGGCCAAUUCCGUGCCAGCAGCCGCGGUAAUACGGAGGAUCCAAGCGUUAUCCGGACGUAUUGGGUUUAAAGGGUGCGUAGGCGGAUUGGUAAGUUAGAGGUGAAAUGUCCGAGCUUAACUCGGGAACUGCCUGUAAUACUGUGGAUCUAGAGAGUAGGUGCGGUAGGCGGAAUGUAUGGUGUAGCGGUGAAAUGCGUAGAGAUCA